Molecule: long non-coding RNA, 361 nt
Organism: Cynara cardunculus var. scolymus (artichoke)
Lineage: Eukaryota; Viridiplantae; Streptophyta; Magnoliopsida; Asterales; Asteraceae
Exons: 2
Source: RefSeq, a predicted model, not a curated record
AUGUUUUUUCAAGAGAAUAUUUUGAUUUCCAAAUCUGUACAGAAGCAUAAUCUCACACAGUCGUUAAAAUGGCAAUUCAGCAGAAGAGCUCCAAUCAGCCAUGGAUUCUCGAGGCGUCGACCUUCGUGGCGCUUUUAUUGAUAGCAGUUCACGUCCUCGCAUUGGUCUUUGGGAUUUAUAAAUUAGCUACAGCGAAACAGCCUCAAGGGAAAACCGAGCAAUUGAAGAAAAGUAAUUAGUGAUUCCAAGUAUGCAGUGAGUAUUAUUAAUUGAUCGCAGGUGUUGAAGAAAUUUAUUUCCUUCUUUUUGGCAUAAUUUGAAUGUUUCUAAUUUUUGAUUGACACCAAAAAUUGCAUUUUGU